This 2369-nucleotide ribosomal RNA is filed under the name Metacrangonyx sp. 2 MDMBR-2012. RNAcentral describes it as "partial 18S ribosomal RNA". It matches the Rfam family "Eukaryotic small subunit ribosomal RNA", at positions 147 to 1625 of the family's 1831-position model. Lineage: Eukaryota; Metazoa; Arthropoda; Malacostraca; Amphipoda; Metacrangonyctidae. The record is from RNAcentral.
CUGUGGUAAUUCCAGAGCUAAUACAUGCAACCUGUAUACCCUGAGGGUGCCGCUUGGGCGCGUGUUCACGCGGGCUCCUUGUGUGUGUGCCUGACGGGUGCUUUUAUUAGACCAAACAUCGCUGGCGGCGCAAGCCGCUAGGCUCAUCAUAUGGUGACUCUGGAUAACCUUUUGACAAGCGCACGUACUUCAUUCAUGGAGACGGCGCUGCCACUUUCGAGUGUCUGCCUUAUCAGCUAUCAACCGUUCGUUAUGUGCGACCGAUGGCUUUGACGGGUAACGGGGAAUCAGGGUUCGAUUCCGGAGAGGCAGCCUGAGAAACGGCUACCACGUCCAAGGACGGCAGCAGGCACGCAAAUUACCCAAUCCCAGCACCUGGGGGAGGUAGUGACGAAAUCUAACGAUGCGGGCGCCCAUUCUGGGCCUCGCAAUCGGAAUGAGCAUUUUCUAAACAACCUGUUGAGAACCUACUGAAGGGCAAGUCUGGUGCCAGCAGCCGCGGUAAUUCCAGCUUCAGCAGCAUAUAUUAAAGUUGCUGCGGUUAAAAGGCUCGCAGUUGAAUGUCAGUGUUGGGCGAUGGUAAGGUGGACGCUGGAGCAUGGGAACUAAGCGCGCUCGCGUGCAGCUCGGGGGCGUUUGUUCGCGCGCGUGUUGUGUGCCUAGCGCUCACGCGUGAAAAACCCGCACGUGUGCGGGUGGUGCCUUCGUCUCUCGCGAGCGUCUCUCACAAGCUCCCGUCUGUUACAAGCCUCCUCGCUCCAGUACAUGGGUGGUAACUCCUCUCCUCGGAUUGCGUGCGUCUCUCCCAGCCUUGCGAAAGCCGUCUCUGUCUUCCACCACUCGUGUGUGCGUCUCUCGCGCUAAGAGUGGGCUCGGGGGCUUUUCGGUCUAGCCUGGCGCUAUAAAGGAGGGUCGUUUUCGUGCCGAGGAGUGGGGCGCGGUCUUGCGCGCGGGCCAGAGUGCGUGUCUGAGGCGCGCGUGUUUGGGUGUGGGUGCGUGCGAGCCGGGGGGAUGAUAUAAUAUCACUCUCUCCGCCGCCGCCUCGCGCUCGCGCGCGCGUUCUCUCUCGCAUGUCUCUCGCGUCGCGCGCGUCCCUCUCGGUGUGUGUUGCUGCAUUGUCACCUUGAGUAAAUCGGAGUGCUCAAAGCAGUCGUAAAGGGCUUCGGCCCUGUGAUAAGUCUUGACGGACUGUCUUGAUUUUGCAUGGUAUGUCGGAAAACGACGUCGAGUGCUGGCUCAGAGUCUAUAGAAGUGGUUUCAAGCCAAGGCCUCGACGUAAUGAUUAAAAGGAACGGUCGAGGGCAUUGGUAUUGCGAGGCGAGAGGUGAAAUUCUAUGACCCCCGCAAGACCGCCUGAAGCGAAAGCGUCUGCCAAGGACGUUUUCAUUAAUCAUGAACGAAAGUUAGAGGAUCGAAGGCGAUCAGAUACCGCCCUAGUUCUGACCCUAAACGAUGCCAACCAUCAAUCCGCGUGAGCACCCUUUUUGACGGGCUCGGCGGGCAGCUCUCUUUUCACGGGAAACCAGAGUCUCUGGGUUCCGGGGGGAGUCUGGUUGCAAAGCUGAAACUUAAAGGAAUUGACGGAAAGGCACCACCAGGAGUGGAGCCUGCGGCUUAAUUUGACUCAACACGGGCCAUCUCACCAGGCCAGAACUCUAGCACGAUUGACAGAUUGAGAGCUCUUUCUCGAUUGAGUGGAUGGUGGUGCAUGGCCGUUCUUAGUUGGUGGAGUGAUCUGUCUGGUUAAUUCCGAUAACGAACGAGACUCUCCCCUGCUAACUAGUCGGUUGGAUCUUGUAUUUCGAUGCGAGUCGUGCGCCGGGUUUUCCUUCGCCUCGCGGCUGCGGUGUGCGAGGGUGAUUCCCGUCUCGUGUGUGCGCGCGCGCUGGCUGUGUGCGUGAGUUUUCGUGUGGGCGUGGAGGCGCGCGUUCUCUAAAAAGGGCGUGUGUCGUUUUGCGCUUGUGCGGGCUUGCGUGUGCUUCUCGGCGUGUGUGUGUGUGCGGGCGGGCUCUUUCUCUCUCUGUGCCGUUCUCGUUGCUUGGUGUGUCUGGUUUUCCCGGGUCGUACACUCCAAGUCCGCCGCUUAUGCUAUAAAACUCUUCUUAGAGGGAUCAACGGCUCUGAAGCCGUACGAGACUGAGAGCAAUAACAGGUCUGUGAUGCCCUUAGAUGUUCUGGGCCGCACGCGCGCUACAAUGCCGGGCACAGCAGGUGUUUUCCCUACUCCGAAAGGAGCGGGCAACCCUCUGAAAGCCCCUUCUCAUCAAAUGUAUCGGCCGGCGAGCAAAAUCGUCGGUCGUGUGUAUUGGCGUGCUUGGGCCUGGGGCUUGCAAUUCUUUCCCACAAACGAGGAAUGCCUAGUAGCGGCG